GGGCCUUUAGCUCAGUUGGUAAGAGCAGCGAGCUCAUAACUCGAAGGUCAUCGGUUCAAGCCCGGUAAGGCCCA
RNAcentral lists this transfer RNA (74 nucleotides) under Crassvirales sp. Its description in RNAcentral is "tRNA-Met". It matches the Rfam family "tRNA". From Rfam's summary of the family: Transfer RNA (tRNA) molecules are approximately 80 nucleotides in length. Their secondary structure includes four short double-helical elements and three loops (D, anti-codon, and T loops). Further hydrogen bonds mediate the characteristic L-shaped molecular structure. tRNAs have two regions of fundamental functional importance: the anti-codon, which is responsible for specific mRNA codon recognition, and the 3' end, to which the tRNAs corresponding amino acid is attached (by aminoacyl-tRNA synthetases). tRNAs cope with the degeneracy of the genetic code in two manners: having more than one tRNA (with a specific anti-codon) for a particular amino acid; and 'wobble' base-pairing, i.e. permitting non-standard base-pairing at the 3rd anti-codon position. The record is from RNAcentral. Lineage: Duplodnaviria; Heunggongvirae; Uroviricota; Caudoviricetes; Crassvirales.